CGCAGAUGCUGGCGAUCCUGGCGGGCGCGCUGGAAGUUGUCGGCGGACUGUUCAUCGCACUGAACUUCGGCACGCGGACCUUUGCCUGGCUGCUGGUGCUGUUCGUCGCGGUGACGACGUUCUAUUUCCACAAUUUCUGGGACAUGACCGGCGCGGAUCGCAUCAACAACAUGAUCCACGCGCUGAAGAACCUGUCGCUGAUCGGCGGCCUCCUGGUGAUCGCGGGCUAUCCGCGUCCGGUGGCGAUGGAAGACAGCGGCCGAUACACCGGCGUCUAGCUCCGCCGCCACGCC
Molecule: unclassified non-coding RNA, 293 nt
Filed under: Hevea brasiliensis (rubber tree)
Lineage: Eukaryota; Viridiplantae; Streptophyta; Magnoliopsida; Malpighiales; Euphorbiaceae
Source: RNAcentral